RNAcentral lists this ribosomal RNA (453 nucleotides) under Triticum aestivum (bread wheat). RNAcentral's name for it is "partial small subunit ribosomal RNA". The record is from RNAcentral. Lineage: Eukaryota; Viridiplantae; Streptophyta; Magnoliopsida; Poales; Poaceae.
AUGGUCUCCGAGUCCGUGUUCAUCUCAAAAUUUGCCUACCAAGACAACGAACAAGAGUGGCGAAUCCCAACGUGGAUGUACUCAUCUACGACAAUUGGCAUGGUCCUGUCGCCCAGCUGUGGAAUCGCCGGUGCCACUACCAUCGCGAGGUCAUCGUCAGGCACCACCAUCACGAGGUCAGUGUCAGGCACCACAAUCGCGAGGUCGUCGUCAGCCACCACCAUAGCAGGGUCGUCGUCAGCCACCACCAUAGCAGGGUCGUCGUCAGCCACCACCAUAGCAAGGUCGUCGUCAGCCACCACCAUAGCAAGGUCGUCAUCCCCGCUCUGCUCCUCUUCUUGUCCACUCUGCUCCUCGUCAUCCACGCUCUGCUCCUCGUCAUCCCCGCUGCGGCUCCCACUGCCUGGCCGAAUGCAACAAAGUGUGAACAUGGUGUUGUCGUCGUGCUGGUAG